GUCUUUUUGAUUAUAAUUUAAAGUCUAACCUACCCACUGAAUAUUUUGAAGGGCCGCGGUAUUUUGACUGUGCAAAGGUAGCAUAAUCAUUAGUCUUUUAAUUGGAGGCUUGUAUGAAUGGUUGGAUGAGGUAUUAACUGUCUCAAUUUAAUAAAUAAUAGAAUUUUAUUUUUAAGUUAAAAAGCUUAAAUUUUAUUAAAAGACGAGAAGACCCUAUAGAUCUUUAUAAUUAAUUUUAUAAUAAUUUUUUAGAUUAAAUUUAUUUUUAUAAGAUAAAUUAUUAUAUUGGGGUGAUAAAAAAAUUUAUAAAACUUUUUUUAUAUUAAAACAAUGAUAUUUGAUUAAUUGAUCCAUUUUUUGUGAUUAUAAGAUUAAGUUACCUUAGGGAUAACAGCGUAAUUUUUUUGGAGAGUUCAUAUCGAUAAAAAAGAUUGCGACCUCGAUGUUGAAUUAAAGGUUAAUUUUAGGUGUAGAAGUUUAAAAUUUUGGUCUGUUCGACCAUUAAAUC
RNAcentral lists this ribosomal RNA (508 nucleotides) under Parachauliodes continentalis. RNAcentral's name for it is "partial large subunit ribosomal RNA". The stretch from base 387 to 508 matches the Rfam family "Bacterial large subunit ribosomal RNA", at positions 2473 to 2594 of the family's 2925-position model. Lineage: Eukaryota; Metazoa; Arthropoda; Insecta; Megaloptera; Corydalidae. The record is from RNAcentral.